RNAcentral lists this ribosomal RNA (554 nucleotides) under Salmonella enterica. Its description in RNAcentral is "partial 23S ribosomal RNA". It matches the Rfam family "Bacterial large subunit ribosomal RNA", at positions 636 to 1191 of the family's 2925-position model. RNAcentral also lists the same sequence under 1 other name. Lineage: Bacteria; Pseudomonadati; Pseudomonadota; Gammaproteobacteria; Enterobacterales; Enterobacteriaceae. The record is from RNAcentral.
UGUAGCAAGGUUAACCGUAUAGGGGAGCCGGAGGGAAACCGAGUCUUAACCGGGCGUUAAGUUGCAGGGUAUAGACCCGAAACCCGGUGAUCUAGCCAUGGGCAGGUUGAAGGUUGGGUAACACUAACUGGAGGACCGAACCGACUAAUGUUGAAAAAUUAGCGGAUGACCUGUGGCUGGGGGUGAAAGGCCAAUCAAACCGGGAGAUAGCUGGUUCUCCCCGAAAGCUAUUUAGGUAGCGCCUCGUGAAUUCAUCUCCGGGGGUAGAGCACUGUUUCGGCUAGGGGGCCAUCCCGGCUUACCAACCCGAUGCAAACUGCGAAUACCGGAGAAUGUUAUCACGGGAGACACACGGCGGGUGCUAACGUCCGUCGUGAAGAGGGAAACAACCCAGACCGCCAGCUAAGGUCCCAAAGUCAUGGUUAAGUGGGAAACGAUGUGGGAAGGCCCAGACAGCCAGGAUGUUGGCUUAGAAGCAGCCAUCAUUUAAAGAAAGCGUAAUAGCUCACUGGUCGAGUCGGCCUGCGCGGAAGAUGUAACGGGGCUAAACCAUG